CCUACGGGAGGCAGCAGUGAGGAAUAUUGGUCAAUGGGCGCAAGCCUGAACCAGCCAAGUCGCGUGAGGGAUGACGGUCCUAUGGAUUGUAAACCUCUUUUGUCGGGGAGCAAGGCCCGCCACGUGUGGCGGGAAGGAGAGUACCCGAAGAAAAAGCAUCGGCUAACUCCGUGCCAGCAGCCGCGGUAAUACGGAGGAUGCGAGCGUGAUCCGUAUUUAUUGGGUUUAAAGGGUGCGUAGGCGGAAGGUUAAGUCAGCGGUAAAAUGUCGGUGCUCAACACCGGCCGGCCGUUGAAACUGGUCUUCUUGAGUGAGCGAGAAGUAUGCGGAAUGCGUGGUGUAGCGGUGAAAUGCAUAGAUAUCACGAAGAACUCCGAUUGCGAAGGCAGCAUACCGGCGCUCAACUGACGCUGAGGCACGAAAGCGUGGGGAUCGAACAGGAUUAGAUACCCUAGUAGUC
Molecule: ribosomal RNA, 460 nt
Filed under: uncultured bacterium
Lineage: Bacteria
Description: partial 16S ribosomal RNA
Rfam family: Bacterial small subunit ribosomal RNA
Source: RNAcentral